RNAcentral lists this ribosomal RNA (796 nucleotides) under uncultured Methanosarcinaceae archaeon. RNAcentral's name for it is "bacterial SSU rRNA". It matches the Rfam family "Archaeal small subunit ribosomal RNA", at positions 85 to 879 of the family's 1478-position model. RNAcentral also lists the same sequence under 1 other name. The record is from RNAcentral. Lineage: Archaea; Methanobacteriati; Methanobacteriota; Methanomicrobia; Methanosarcinales; Methanosarcinaceae.
ACUGCUCAGUAACACGUGGAUAACCUGCCCUUGGGUCCGGCAUAACUCCGGGAAACUGGAGAUAAUUCCGGAUAACGCAUAUAUGCUGGAAUGCUUUAUGCGUAAAAUGGAUUCGUCUGCCCAAGGAUGGGUCUGCGGCCUAUCAGGUAGUAGUGGGUGUAAUGUACCUACUAGCCUACGACGGGUACGGGUUGUGAGAGCAAGAGCCCGGAGAUGGAUUCUGAGACAUGAAUCCAGGCCCUACGGGGCGCAGCAGGCGCGAAAACUUUACAAUGCGGGAAACCGUGAUAAGGGGACACCGAGUGCCAGCAUCAUAUGCUGGCUGUCCAGGUGUGUAAAAUACACCUGUUAGCAAGGGCCGGGCAAGACCGGUGCCAGCCGCCGCGGUAACACCGGCGGCCCGAGUGGUGAUCGUGAUUAUUGGGUCUAAAGGGUCCGUAGCCGGUUUGGUCAGUCCUCCGGGAAAUCUGAUAGCUCAACUAUUAGGCUUUCGGAGGAUACUGCCAGACUUGGAACCGGGAGAGGUAAGAGGUACUACAGGGGUAGGAGUGAAAUCUUGUAAUCCCUGUGGGACCACCUGUGGCGAAGGCGUCUUACCAGAACGGGUUCGACGGUGAGGGACGAAAGCUGGGGGCACGAACCGGAUUAGAUACCCGGGUAGUCCCAGCCGUAAACGAUGCUCGCUAGGUGUCAGGCAUGGCGCGACCGUGUCUGGUGCCGCAGGGAAGCCGUGAAGCGAGCCACCUGGGAAGUACGGCCGCAAGGCUGAAACUUAAAGGAAUUGGCGGGGGAGCAC